Molecule: ribosomal RNA, 253 nt
Filed under: uncultured bacterium
Lineage: Bacteria
Description: partial 16S ribosomal RNA
Rfam family: Bacterial small subunit ribosomal RNA
Source: RNAcentral
UACGAAGGGGGCUAGCGUUGUUCGGAUUUACUGGGCGUAAAGCGCACGUAGGCGGAUCGUUAAGUCGGGGGUGAAAUCCUGGAGCUCAACUCCAGAACUGCCUUUGAUACUGUCGAUCUGGAGUAUGGAAGAGGUGAGUGGAAUUCCGAGUGUAGAGGUGAAAUUCGUAGAUAUUCGGAGGAACACCAGUGGCGAAGGCGGCUCACUGGUCCAUUACUGACGCUGAGGUGCGAAAGCGUGGGGAGCAAACAGG